GUAGGAGGCAAGCGUUAUCCGGAUUUACUGGGCGUAAAGCGCGUGCAGGCGGUUUGGUAAGUCGGACGUGAAAGCUCCCGGCUCAACUGGGAGAGGCCGUUCGAAACUGCCAGACUAGAGGGCAGCAGAGGGAGGUGGAAUUCCGGGUGUAGCGGUGAAAUGCGUAGAUAUCCGGAGGAACACCAGUGGCGAAGGCGGCCUCCUGGACUGCCCCUGACGCUAAGACGCGAAAGCUAGGGUAGCAAACGGGAUUAGAAACCCCGGGUAGUCCUAGCUGUAAACGAUGCACACUUGGUGUUGGUGGCAUAAAACCCCCAUCAGUGCCGCAGCUAACGCGAUAAGUGUGCCGCCUGGGGGACUACGGUCGCAAGGCUAA
Molecule: ribosomal RNA, 376 nt
Filed under: uncultured organism
Description: partial 16S ribosomal RNA
Rfam family: Bacterial small subunit ribosomal RNA
Source: RNAcentral